ACGCGAUUCGUUUUUUCCUGUUUUCAGACCGCUCGUUUCGUUAGUAUGUAAUCGUUUUCUUCGUCUUAAAAAAGUGUACCUUCAGUUUUGUGACUUUACUUUACGUCUCAACUUUACUGGGUCACAAUUAUUGGUUAUUAUUCACAAUUCACAAUGGUGUACAUCGUAGAAGAUGCUACUGAUUUCGGCAGCUGGUUGGAGACCGCAUGCGAUAAGCUGGUCCUGGUGGGCUUUUUCGCAACCUGGUGCGGCCGUUGCAACUUGCAAGGUGGUUGCCUCUAAGUUGGACGAAUUCCAGACCGAAUUACCAACAAGAUCGUUGUCAUCAAGGUGAACGAGAGUGAGUGUGAUUUGGCAUACAACAUCUAGCAUCCCAAAAUUCUUCUCCAAGGAAAAAUCCAUGGUCGAAUCGUUUUCCGGCGCAAACGCCGAAAAGCUGGAGUCCAAUAUUAGGAGACUCAAUCAGUAGAUUGGAAAUAUGAAACAAUAACGUGAAAGAAGAAUACACUCCAAUAAAAAAAGCGUAUGUGAUUUUUGUUGCCGUUAUCGAUAGAACGACUAAUGUUGAUAUGGUUCCGAUUGACACCUCCGGGCAGCAGAAUUGUAUAAUUAAUUAGCAGCUUGUCACUAAAGGACACGUGCCAAAGAUAGAUUUUGGAAUUUGAAAUCAUACAUCAAGCUUUCAACUUUGUUGGAAGCCAAGAACUGGUUCCACCUGGAGGUGUUGUCAAUUUAGCUACUGUACUUCGAGGUGGAGUGCUGGAAAACGGCACCGCGACCGACUUUAAGAUUAUUUGCGUACCAAUGUGUGUCCUGAUGCGGGCUACUCAAUUUACUACGCCUGCCGGCAGUCGUUUGGUUCACCUAGAACUUCUGCCCACUACGGAACUAUCGGUGAUACCGAACUGGAAUUAAAAAAUCUUGAUGACAACGAAAUUGUUAUCGGUGAUAUUUUGCCACAGCGUCCGAUCGAUGGUGGUUCCCGAAAAACGAAAGGCCUACCGUCGGAGUUCAAUUGGUUAGUUGAAUCACAAAUAUUCUUGGGUUCUAUCUAUGGCUGACUCUCGAAUGAAUUCUGCUGACUGAUUCUGCUGAACAGAUCGCCACGGUACGUGAGUUGAUAUACCGAAACUCAGAAACAGCGCAAGGCCAACGAGGAAGUCGAGCAAGCAGAGGACGAAGCUACGGUAAAACGGAUCUCGAGCUUAAGAUUCCAAAGAUAUGGGAAACACGGUUGCAGACAUGCGUCGAACUGGUGUGAGUGAAUAUUCAAUAUUCUCAGCAGCUGCUUGAAACCACAGCCGUUUUUCGUGCACAAAAUUAUCCCCAACCAUCUGUCCAAAAUUAACGCUCUUGUUAAGCUUGUGAAGCUAAUAAAAAAAUAUGUCAUACUAUAAGGAGACUAUGGUCUGUAUGAGCUCUGCAACAAAAAAACUAAAAGUCACAACGCUCAAGGCUGGCCAUCGAUCUAUGCUGGUGGGUGGCUGUAUUUGAGGUUUCUAAGGCGACUUCUGGAACUGAUUUAAAUCCAUGAACUUCGUUCUGUAAACACCCACAGCAGACGUACUAAGUGAAUAGUUUAACUUAUUUUAUACGGUUUCUAUAUAAGUGCAUGUUACUAUCCUUGUUCGCAUUAAUUUUACCCUUAUUAUAUUUUAAACUAUAAUACAAUUUACACCCAUUCUAGCAAACAGGUCCAUUUAUUGUUAACUGAAGUCAACUAUUCUGUUAAAAUUUAAAACAUAAUCUGAUAUGAUGUUUCCGGAGAGCUUAUAGAUUAAGAUUUUAAUCCGCAAAUUAAUGGAUUUAAAACAUGUUACGCAUAUAAAAAAACAAUUGUACGAAACCAGGGCCA
This is a long non-coding RNA of Sabethes cyaneus, 1855 nucleotides long. RefSeq lists it as uncharacterized. Lineage: Eukaryota; Metazoa; Arthropoda; Insecta; Diptera; Culicidae. The record is from RefSeq and is a predicted model, not a curated record. The transcript is spliced from 5 exons.